Molecule: ribosomal RNA, 379 nt
Filed under: uncultured eukaryote
Lineage: Eukaryota
Description: partial 18S ribosomal RNA
Rfam family: Eukaryotic small subunit ribosomal RNA
Source: RNAcentral
CAAUAGCGUAUAUUAAAGUUGUUGCGGUUAAAAAGCUCGUAGUUGGAUUUCUGCUGAGAACGACCGGUCCGCCCUCUGGGUGUGUAUCUGGCUCUUUCUUGGCAUCUUCUUGGUGAACGUUGCUGCACUUGACUGUGUGGAGCGCUACCCAGGACUUUUACUUUGAGGAAAUUAGAGUGUUUCAAGCAGGCAUACGCCUUGAAUACAUUAGCAUGGAAUAAUAAGAUAGGGCCUCGGUUCUAUUUUGUUGGUUUCUAGAGCUGAGGUAAUGAUUAAUAGGGAUAGUUGGGGGCAUUCGUAUUUAACUGUCAGAGGUGAAAUUCUUGGAUUUGUUAAAGACGGACUACUGCGAANGNAUUUGCNAAGGAUGUUUNCAUUG